GACGAACGCUGGCGGCGUGCCUAAUACAUGCAAGUAGAACGCUGAAGAGAGGAGCUUGCUCUUCUUGGAUGAGUUGCGAACGGGUGAGUAACGCGUAGGUAACCUGCCUUGUAGCGGGGGAUAACUAUUGGAAACGGUAGCUAAUACCGCAUAACAAUGGAUGACACAUGUCAUUUAUUUGAAAGGGGCAAUUGCUCCACUACAAGAUGGACCUGCGUUGUAUUAGCUAGUAGGUGAGGUAAUGGCUCACCUAGGCGACGAUACAUAGCCGACCUGAGAGGGUGAUCGGCCACACUGGGACUGAGACACGGCCCAGACUCCUACGGGAGGCAGCAGUAGGGAAUCUUCGGCAAUGGGGGCAACCCUGACCGAGCAACGCCGCGUGAGUGAAGAAGGUUUUCGGAUCGUAAAGCUCUGUUGUAAGUCAAGAACGGGUGUGAGAGUGGAAAGUUCACACUGUGACGGUAGCUUAACAGAAAGGGACGGCUAACUACGUG
This 497-nucleotide ribosomal RNA is filed under the name uncultured bacterium. Its description in RNAcentral is "partial 16S ribosomal RNA". It matches the Rfam family "Bacterial small subunit ribosomal RNA", at positions 28 to 507 of the family's 1533-position model. The record is from RNAcentral.